RNAcentral lists this ribosomal RNA (502 nucleotides) under uncultured organism. RNAcentral describes it as "eukaryotic LSU rRNA". The stretch from base 185 to 338 matches the Rfam family "5.8S ribosomal RNA". The record is from RNAcentral.
UUCCGUAGGUGAACCUGCGGAAGGAUCAUUAGUGAAUCUAGGACGUCCAACUUAACUUGGAGUCCGAACUCUCACUUUCUAACCCUGUGCAUCUGUUAAUUGGAAUAGUAGCUCUUCGGAGUGAACCACCAUUCACUUAUAAAACACAAAGUCUAUGAAUGUAUACAAAUUUAUAACAAAACAAAACUUUCAACAACGGAUCUCUUGGCUCUCGCAUCGAUGAAGAACGCAGCGAAAUGCGAUACGUAAUGUGAAUUGCAGAAUUCAGUGAAUCAUCGAAUCUUUGAACGCACCUUGCGCUCCUUGGUAUUCCGAGGAGCAUGCCUGUUUGAGUGUCAUGAAAUCUUCAACCCACCUCUUUCUUAGUGAAUCUGGUGGUGCGUGGUUUCUGAGCGCUGCUCUGCUUCGGCUUAGCUCGUUCGUAAUGCAUUAGCAUCCGCAACCGAACUUCGGAUUGACUUGGCGUAAUAGACUAUUCGCUGAGGAUUCUAAUUUACUAGAG